Molecule: long non-coding RNA, 12266 nt
Filed under: Ananas comosus (pineapple)
Lineage: Eukaryota; Viridiplantae; Streptophyta; Magnoliopsida; Poales; Bromeliaceae
Description: long non-coding RNA (ACOM_LNC024107)
Source: RNAcentral
UGAACCCUCAUUGCUUAUGGGAUUCUAAGUCUUAAUCACCACAAAUCAUCAAUUCUACAAACUCCGGAAGGAGAUUCGGCGCGUGGAUCUCGCGUGGAGCCGAGGACUCGGUGGACGCUUCGAGGAGCUGAGGCGUUGACGCAGCAAGGAGUUGCAGCGGGGUCGAUUGGAGGAUUCCUAUCGAUCGAGGACCGGCGAAGAACAUCAACAACAGGAAUUCGGUAAAUUGAGUCUUGUAUUUUGGUUAAAUCACUUGUACUCAAGUUUUCUUAGUGAAUUUUCUUCGCGUGAUCGGUCCCGUGGGUUUUUCACUCCGGAUUGGAGUUUUCCUACGUUAAAAUCUCGGUGUUUUGUUUUUAUUUUCCGCUAUUCUUUUUAUUUGCAUCGAGAAGUUUUGUUUGUGCCGUUUUACACCUAUUCACCCCCCUCUAGGUGUUAUUUAUCUUUUAGAUCCUCGGGAUCCAUAUCUUACAAGUGGUAUCAGAGCGGGUAUAGGUUGUAAAUCAUGGCCGAAGGCGAUAACAUCAAUCGACCCCCUCUUUUCGAUGGCACUAAUUACGCUCAUUGGAAAGUCCGUAUGAGGGCGUUUCUUAUUGCCAUCGACGAGCGGGUAUGGCAAGCCAUUGAAUUUGGUUGGAAACAUCCUACCGAAAUUGUCAAGAAUGUUACCGGUCCGAAACCUAGAAAUAAAUGGACGAAAGAGAAAAACGAACUAUCUUCAUUCAACGGGAAAGGUAUCAAUGCUUUAUUUAAUGCCUUAAAUCAAACUGAAUUUUUUCGUGUCUCGGCGUGUGAAACCGCCAAAGAGAUUUGGUACACUUUACAAGUUACACACGAGGGUACAAGCUUGGUAAAGAUUCAAAAAUUACAAAUGCUUACUAGUAGAUUUGAUUCUAUCCGUAUGAAAGAACAUGAAUCUUUUACCGAGUAUUAUACUCGUUUGCAAGACAUUGUAAACACGUGUGCUAACUUAGGCGAGAAGAUUCCGGAUUCCAAAAUUGUUAGAAAAAUUUUGAGGACCCUUCCCUAACGAUUUCGUCCUAAGGUUGCGGCCAUUGAAACGGUAAAACAUCCGGAUGAACUUAAGGUAGAAGAAUUAGUAGGUGCACUUCAAAUGUAUAAUAUGACUUUUCCUUCUAAUUCGUCUUCUUCCAAAUCUUCUUCUAAAGCUUCAGGGAUGGCUCUAAAAUCAACAAAAAGAGAUGACACUACAACUUCAUCGGACUCGGCGUCGGAGCAAACAUUGGAGGAGUUUGAAAAGCAACUAGCGCUUCUAACGAAGAAGUUCCGUCGGAACUUUAGAAAGAAGUUUCCUCCCAAGGCUACUUCCUCCAAGUCAAGCAAAUCAAAAGGGAGUUCUUCUUCAUCUUCUUAUUCUAAGAAUAAAAAGUCCAAAAGCUCUUCUAAAGAUUUUUCAAAAGAGAAGAAAACUAAUGAAGGUCAAAUCCAAUGCUAUAAGUGUAGAGGAUUUGGUCAUAUUGCAUCGGAUUGCCCUAAUAAAAAAUCUUUGAAAAAGAAAGCAAUGCAAGCUAUCACUUGGGAUGACUCGUCUUCGAGUGAGACAUCUUCAAGUGAUGAGGAUGUUAACGCUAUGGCACUUAUUGCACAUGACUUUUUUAUGUGUUUAGCAUCUACAGAUUCUAUCUCUAUGUCAUCCCUGCAUGAAAAAUCUUAUUCGGAGAACUCAUCGGAUGAAGAAUCGGAUGAAGAUGACAUGGUCGCAGCAUAUCAACAAUUGGUAGUCGAAUCAAAGAAGGUGGCAAAACAUAACAAGAAGUUGCGGCGAAGUCUACAUGACUUAGAACAAGAGAAUUCAAGAUUGGCCUCAUUGUCAAAGGAUCUAGAACAAGAAAGAGAUGGUUUGACUAAGGCCUACAAUUCUUUAUUUGAGAAGUGUACAUUACUUGAAAAGGAAAAGGAGACUCAUGUUGAAAACAUCAAUUUUCUUACCAAGCAAUACUCGGAAGCUAGAGAAGCAAAUAUGGAAUUCACCAAGACGAUUAUUCAACUUAAAUCAGAUUUAAAUCAAUUCUUGUCUGGCUCUAGCAAACUUGAUAAGAUGCUUGGACUUGGUCAAACAAAUAAACUUGGACUUGGAUACGAACAGACGUAUAUUGAUCAAGCAAUGAAGAAAGAUGACGAACACUCGACAAAAGCAGUUCCUAAGCUUUAUGGUAAGUUCGUCCCUCCUAAAAACACUUUGGCUAACAAAACUUGUCAUCUUUGUGGUGUUUUAGGACAUAUAAAGAAAUUUUGCAAACAAAAGGGUAAGAGCUCCACAACACCCUUGAAUCAAAGAACAUCUUUAAUGCCCAUGAAGAAUGAUCCUAAAUCAAAAGGGAAGUCAACUUGGACUCUAAAGAAGGAUGAUCAUAUGAAGAAACAAAUAUGGACACCAAAGAAGAAUAUUCCGAAAUCAAAGGCAAAACAAGCAUGAAAACCAAAGAAGGAGGAUCUGAAGAAGAAGUUAAUUCAAAUCGUCGACAAGCCACGAUCACCAAAAGCAAGUGAACCGACGCAACCCAAAACACGUAAGGUUUGGGUGCGCAAAGGUGAACUCUUCCUAUGCCUUGUCAUUCACACUUCGCUUCUUGCUUACGAUAAUACUUCUUGGUAUCUGGAUAGUGGUUGUUCCUGUCACAUGACCGGUGAUAAAAAUUGGUUUACUUCUUUAAAUAAAAUCUCCGGAGGACUUGUUGUUUUUGGAGACGGUCGAUCGUCAAAAAUCGUCGGAAAAGGAACAGUGACUAUCUCAGAUCGCCCUACUUUGAAUGAUGUUUUUUAUGUUGAGGGGCUAAAAUCUAAUCUCGUAAGCAUAAGUCAAUUGUGUGAUGAUGGGUAUUCUGUGACGUUUUCUGAUAAAGAAUGCUAUGUGACUCGAGAUGAUAAUCUUUUCUUAAAAGGAGUUAGAUCUCAGAAUAACAUAACACUGUUAUGUAGUUCCUAGUUCUUCAACUGAACAUUGUAACCUAGCGUCAUUAGAGACUGAAACUUUAUGGCAUGAACGACUAGGUCACAUGAACUUUAAGGAACUAUCCAAGAUAACUAAGAAGGAGGUUGUUAGAGAUGUACCUAAGAUAGACUUCAAAGAGAACACUGUGUGUGAGGGUUGUCAAUUGGGGAAACAAACUAGAUCCGCACAUAAGAAUGUGAACCACUUAGGGACAUCUAAACCGUUAGAAUUACUUCACAUGGACUUGAUGGGACCAUCUAGGAUUCAAAGUUUGGGUGGAAAACGUUAUAUCCUGCUUAUUGUUGAUGAUUUUACUCGAUUUGUAUAGAGUGCCUUCUUACAUGAAAAAGCUGAUACUUUUAAUUCUUUUUCUGAGAUUUGUCUUCGUCUUAUGAAUGAGCGUAAUGAUAAAAUUGUAUGUAUUCGAAGUGAUCAAGUGGAAGAAUUCAAAAUUCAAAAUUUGUUGAUUUUUGUGUUUCAGAUGGCAUAAAAUAUAAAUUCUCGGCUCUUUAUACACCUCAACAAAACGGAGUGGUAGAACGUAAAAAUCAGUUUGUACAAGAGAUGGCACGUGUUAUGCUUCAUAGUAAGAAAAUUGCUUUACAUUUUUGGGCCGAAGCGGUUAACACGGUAGUCUAUGUUAUCAAUCGGAUUUAUGUGUGUCCGGGUACUUUGAAUACUCCGUAUGAACUUUGGCUUGGUAGGAAACCUAAUAUUAAAUACUUUCUUGUCUUCGGGAGUAAAUGUUUUAUCCUUCGGGAUCGUGAAAAUCUUGAAAAAUUUGACUCCCGAAGUGACAAGGGGAUCUUUCUUGGUUAUUCUACUACAAGUCGUGCUUAUCGUGCGUACAAUUUUCGAUCUAAGACGGUGAUAGAAUCUAUCAAUAUAAAAGUAGAUGAAGCUUCUUCUGUAAGUUCUUUUAUAAAUGGUUCUUCUAAUUCUCUGGUGAAUGAUGAUGAUAAUGAUUCUCCAUUUGUAUUGCCUGUGAAUGAUGAUGUUUCUGCAUUUGAUUAUCCUAUUGCAUCUUCUGAAAAUGUUGCAUCAAAUGAUUUAUCUAAGCCUCAAAGCACCUCAUCUGAAAUCCCUAGCACAUCACCUGAGACUACAUCCCUGACAGAGUCAAGAGAUCAUCCUUUAUCGAAUGUUAUUGGGGAUCCUAAUGUUGGUGUACGAACUAGAAGUCAACUUCAAUGUGAAUUUGCAUGUUAUGUAUCUCUAAUUGAACCAAAGAAUAUUGACGAAGCUCUUCUUGAUGAAUAUUGGAUAAAUGCCAUGCAAGAAGAACUUGGUCAAUUCAUCCGCAAUGAUGUAUGGGAAUUAGUGCCACGCCCUGAGCAACAAAAUGUUAUUGGUACUAAAUGGAUUUUUAAAAAUAAGAAAAAUAAGGAUGGUACAAUUGUUCGAAAUAAAGCUAGACUUGUUGCUCAAGGUUACUCACAAAUUGAAGGGAUUGAUUUUGAUGAAACCUUCGCCCCAGUUGCUCGACUCGAAUCUAUUUGUAUUCUGUUCGCGAUAGCUUGUCAUUUUAAAAUUACUCUUUAUCAAAUGGAUAUCAAAAGUGCAUUUUUGAAUGAUUUUCUAAAAGAGGAAGUUUAUGUGGAACAACCAAAAGAUUUUAUAGAUUCUAAAUUUCUAAAUCAUUUUUUUCGUCUUAAAAAGGCACUUUAUGGACUCAAACAAGCACCGCGAGCAUGGUAUGAACGAUUAACCAAAUAUCUUUUAGAAAAGGGGUACAACCGAGGGGUAGCGGAUAGAACUCUUUUACUAAACACACUAAAAUGACUUUAUUGUGGCACAAAUUUAUGUGGAUGACAUUAUCUUUGGUGCAACUAAAGAUACUGUUGCGACUGAAUUUGCAAAGUUGAUGACUAGUGAGUUUGAGAUGUCUAUGAUGGGAGAGCUUUCAUACUUCCUUGCUCUUCAAGUUAAACAAUCAAAGGAAGGAAUUCAUUUGUCUCAAACCAAGUACGCAAAGGAAUUGGUUAAGAAAUUUGGUUUGGAUGGAGCAAAGGAUUUUGAUACACCGAUGGGAGCAAGUAAUAAAGGACUUGGAGUAAAUGUUGAAGGACAGAGUGUGGAGGAGAAAUAGUACAGAAGCAUGAUUGGGAGCCUAUUGUACUUGACUGCGAGUAGACCAGAUAUUGCUUUUAGUGUUGAACUUUGUGCUCGCUAUCAAGCUAAUCCUAAGGAAGUUCAUCUGAAAGCGGUUAAACGGAUCAUUCAGUACGUUAAUGGUACAACUGCAUAUGGCCUCUGGUAUCCUAUGGAACAUCUCUUGAUCUGAUUGGAUACUCAGAUGCUGACUGGGCUGGCUCUGCGGAUGAUCGGAAAAGCACUAGUGGAGCUUGUUUUUACCUUGGACAUUGUUUUGUUGCGUGGCAUAGUAAGAAACAGAACUGUAUUGCUCUUUCCACUGCCUAGGCUGAGUAUAUUUCUGCCGGCAGUUGCUCUACACAGUUACUGUGGAUGAAAAGCUUAUUGAGUAACUAUCGGAUCUCCUCCACCACUUUUACAAUUCUUUGUGACAACACGAGUGCUAUUAAUAUUUUCAAAAAUCCUGUUUUACACUCACGAACAAAGCAUAUUGAACUAAGAUAUCACUUUUUGAGAGAAUUGGUUGAAUCAAACGUUCUUCAACUUGAAUAUAUUUCAACUAAAAAUCAACUCGCAGAUAUUUUAACAAAACCUUUGGAUCAAAAACUUUUUCUACAUUUAAGAAAUGCUAUUGGUAUAAAUCCUUCAAACUAGACAUAUUCCAUUGGGCCAUAGAUCAUGUGCAUGUUGGAUUUUGUUUCUGUGCAUUUUUUCGUUUUUUCCUGAUUAUUCUUGAGAGACGAUUGAAUUUCAUGAAUGAUGUCGCUGUUUUUGUGAGAUAAAUUGGUUUCUGUUAGCUCUAUCUUAUGACUUUAAUUGUUUCAUAUUAAGUUUCUGAUUGAUCACUGUCAAUGUUAUUCUCUACUGUCAUAAUUUUUGAACGAUCAAAUCAUUGAAAUCCUGUUCAGUAUACUGAAUUAAAUUCAACACCUCAUGAUUAGAACUUUGAAUGUUGCAAUUGUUUGUUUGAUUAUUAGUUGUGAGAUGAAUAACUCUUUGUCUAUUUUUGAAAUUGCAAUAAUAUUUUUGACUUGAGGGUUGCACUAAUUUAGGGCGAGUCUUUCCGACUAUGGUUAUGAAAGUAUCUUAAAUUCAAAAAAAUGUGGAAAGAGUUACAUCCCUGUUGGGAGUGUAAAAACUACCACCACAUGGAGGAAAGAGCUACCACCCCGGUCGUCCGGUCAGUGUGUGCAGCUACCACAUGAUGAUCAAUAUAUCUCUAUGUGCUAAAAGCCAAUAAAGAAUAAAUAAAUAUGAGAUGUUAUGGAAAUGGUAAAAUUCUAAUACUAUAUUUAAGACAUCUCUUAGGGGAUAUAAGGUGGUUUGUUAAAAGAUGCUCAAAGAGCCACUCCUAUCUCGAUUUAUGUGCAUAACUCAAAUUGAAAAUAUUCUUUUAAUUUCAUGAUUAUGAGAUUUAUUUAUUCAAUUUCUUAACAAAUAUGAUGAUAAAACGAUACAAUUAAUCCCUAGAUCUUGCAUGAUGUGUGGAAUUUUAUUUGAUACUUAUCAAGAAUUUUAUUUGAUUUUCGGAUCAACAGUGUUUGACAAAUUGAAUAUCUUUGAGAUUGAUUUUUCAAAAUUUAUUUAUGAAAUUUUAUUGGAAGUCUUUGGGGAUAGAUAUUAUGUAUUCUUGAUGUUGGACAUGUUGAGGAUAUUAUAUAAAAUUUUUGAAAAUUAUGAACGAAGAUUUCAUUUUUUUUGGUUUUGGCUCUGGGACCGGUCCCCGAUUUGGAGAGACCGAUCUCUCCGCCCGAACCGGAUUUAAGGGUUUGCGGUCUGUUAUUUUUUCACUUUACCAAUUUCGUUCAAACUCCUCUUCUGAGCUUCUAAUAUCCCCAGGGCAUUUUUGGUUGCUUUCUUCAUCAUUUUACACUUGAUUUAGGUAUGAUUCUCGGAUUUUGUUUCUUUGUUGCAUUAUAAUCCGAAUUUUUGCUUUAUUUUUAAUUUUUAGGGCUUGUUCUCAUUAUGAUUGUUGAAUCUCUUCGUUUAUGCCCUGAUCUUCCCUCAAAGAAUGUUAGUUAGGAUUUUCACACAUUGUUUCAUACCUUGAUACAAUUGUUUGGUUGAUUUUGCAAAGUUUUCAUCAUCAAACCCUAAUUUUUCAAUUUUUUUGAAAAAAAAGUGAUUUUACAGAUUUUGAUGCAUAAUGUAAUCAUUGUUUUCAUGCUUAUGUGGCCCUAGGAUUAUCUAGCAUAUUACAUAUCAACUUGCUAAAGUUUUUAAAAAAUAAAAAUAAAAAUAAAAAUAAAAAUAAACCAACAGUUCUUAUGUUCAAUAUGUGUAAAUUGUCGUAUUUACAGGGUCUUCUUCAAAAAAGUACUCGUGGCUGCUUGUUUUUGUGGUGCUUAUGGCUGGUGGUGGCCGUGGGAGUAAGCGUCAGCGUGCUUCGACCAAGCGUCCUGUUGAGCAACAUUGAGAAGAUGAGGGGAGCGAGUAUACUCCAGGUGAAGAAUCUGAAUCUGAUGAGCCCGAUUGGGAGGUACUUACUCCUGAAGUGCUUUCGAAGAAGAAGGGUAAAGCUCCCGCAGAAAAAGAACGAGAGAAGGGAAAAGGAAAAGGAAAAGGAAAAGGUACUGAAAAGGGAAAGGGCAAAGCCACUGCUCAAGGGACAGAUACGGGAGGUCGAAGAAAGUCAGGUGGAUUUGAGAUUAGAGAGCCUGUUUUUGAGCCUCCGCGAUAUUCUGUUCAGGAUGUUGAUUCCCGCCGACGAUCCAUGUACUCCUCAAAGCACUGCAUUGGUGAACGUGAUGUAAGCGUCGCAGAUAUUAUUGAGCGUGUGCCGGAAUUUCAAGCUCUAUUUGAAAAUGGUAAUUUGCAUGAAAUUUGUAGCUUUUCGGAGCAAUCAGGUUUCUGCUUGGAGCUUAUUAGGGAAUUUUAUAUGCGAGCGGGACAUCUGAUUGACUCUUAUAGCGGCCCAUACAGGUUCACUACUUCGGCACGAGGCGUCGAGUUGUCUAUUACGCCUGAUACGAUAGCUUCUGUGCUGGAAAUAGAAGCUCGUACCGAUGGAAUUGAGUACUUACAGGCCGGAUUUGAUUCGUUUCGGGAUUGGGCGCGUAUUGUGAAUGCAAUCUGCAUGCCGGGAACUGAAUCUAAUGGAAUUAUGGUUUUAUCUAAAGAUUUUAAGAUGGAGUAUCGUUUUCUGAACUUCGUGGUUUGUUAUAACAUUUUGCCCUUGGCAAACACGAAGAUUCUGCGUUGGGAUCGUCUUCUUUAUAUGUACUUGUUGGGUCACCCGGACAUUGUACAAGCAAAGAACAUAAACAUGAACAUUCCGUUUUUAAUUUGGGGGCGGAUGGCCAAGGACAUCAAGACAUCAGGGCAGAAUGACAGGUUGCCAUUUCCAUUGAUUAUUAUGCGGAUUCUGCGAAUGUAUGAGGUGGAUACUCGUUGUGCGUCAUACGAGCAUAGUCUUGGGAGGAUAAGUGACACGACGUUUGUGAAGUCCUCUGUGCAGCUUCGAACUCCGUCUAAACGAACUUCUUCACCUACUGCUGCUCCACCUCCUGCUGCUCCUAGUUCUUCCCGUCCUUCUAUGGAUAUUUCUGAGGAGGAUAUCUCGGUUUCAUCCGUGUAUCGUGAGCAACAUAGAUUAUCUGAAGAGCUUCAAAAACUUUCAGCGGAUCAGGCUCAGAUAAGGAAGGAUAUGAGCAAGAUUAGAUGAUUAAUGAAAGUGAUCUUCGAUAAAUUAGGUUGUUGUAGCUCCGAUCUUCCUCCGCAGGGUGAUGACUCCGACUGAGUGGUGCGGGGUUCCUCCUUUUAUCGUUUUGUCGGUUUCUUGACAAAAAGGGGGAGAUGAUGAUGAUGUUUUUUAGUUAAUUUUAGUUGUUAGAUGCAUGAUUUUAGAUGUUAGAUGCAUGUGUAGGUGCAUGAUGCUGUGCUGAUGGUGAUGUUUUUAGAUGAGAUGCUGAUAAUGAUGUAUUAAGAUAUGACUGUUUAUGUUUGAUCGUUAAUGAAAUUUCUUGGAUCUUGAUUGUGUUUUGAAAAUGUUUAUUGCAGGAACUUUCAAGACUUCAAGACUUCAUGUCUAAGUCAUAGAGUUUGUAGUAAGAUUGUGAAAAAAUAUAAUUUUUUCUUUUAUUGAAUCGAUCAUGCAGGAGAUUGUCGUUUGGUGAUUGCGAUGAUCUUCUUUUUAUUGUUUCUGAGUUGUGUACGAGUGUUGUAAUAUGUUUUGUCACGAAAUCGCCAAAGGGGGAGAUUGUUAAGGAUUUUCUAGGUUGGCGGAUUUCGUAAAGUCAAAUGGAGUCUUGAAGAGUUGAUCGCGGUAGUUUGAAGAGAAGAUUCAACUUGAAGAGCAAAAACUCAUUUGGAAAGCUCGGCACCUCAGGUAUAAAGAAUAGAUCAUUUUUGGUGAUUUUAUCUAACUACAAUAAGUUUAGAAGACUUGGAUUGCAAUAGAAAACACAAACUGAGGUUUUUAAUGUGCUGGGACCGGUCCCCUGAGAUGAGAGACCGGUUCCCGAGAGUUCUCUCUGCGUGGAUGUCUAAUACAACCGGUCUCCUGAUCUGAGGGACCGGUCUCCUGGUCGGUGCAACCGAUCUCUGUCAUGAGAGACCGUUUCCCUAACGUUGGGAUUUUUGACUCGCAGAGAGAGACCGGUCUCUGGCAUGAGAGACCGGUUCCCGAACGUUGUGUUUUCUGUCACGCAGCGAGGGACCGGUCUCCCAUUCAAGGCACCGGUCUCUGACAGACCUGUCUCCUCGAGAGGAUCGGUCCUUGAGGACGACACCAGUUUUUAAAAUAGACUUUUUGCAAUCCUAGUCUACUUCUAAGUCUUCUAAACCUAUAAAUAAGCCAUGGGGGUUAUCAUAUGGGUUGAGGCUUUGAAUUUCUACUGUUCAAAAACCCUAGAAACUUGUUUUCACGUUCCAAUGAUUCUAUUUAUAUAACAAGUUUCAUAUAAUCAUUGAUCGACUUGAUUCUUCGAUUUUAACUCAAGAUAUUCUUUGAGAAUCAAGUAGAUGUUUGAGGAGGGACUGUUGGAGCUCGGAUUCGUCGCCGCCGUAGUGCCGCGGAGUCGUUCGAGCACACGUUUGUCGUCGUGGUGCUGUGAGGAGCUCGGGCGGGCCUGGAUUGGACGACGUGGCGUCGACUCUUGAAGGUUUUCAAGGUGAGUGUUCGGUUGGAAUCACCUCAAUUACUUUAGCAUCAUCAAAUUUGAGCUUAAGUGCUAUUUUGCUUUUUUUCGCCGUCGAUCGUUGGUGUUUCAGCUCGUACUCGGCGUAGGAGCGUCGGUUUUCGACGAGACUUGGUUUGUUGGAUUCAAGACUUCGAGAGGAAUCAACAAAGCCCUUACUUACUAGAUUUGGUGAAGGUUAGCUUGGUCAAAUCCCUUUUCUACUCUGUUACUGCGAGAUUCGGACUGAAUUGGUGGAUUUUGAUCAUAGAGCUUGGAGUUAGCUCGAGUACUAGACUUGGAGGAUUCCAGUUGAUCCAGCAGGGCUCACUUUGGUUCGAGGCUUCGUUCGCUGCUAGGAGCUAGCUUCUUGAGGUGGGUUUACAUCGGUUUUACUCCUAAGUUCAUAAUCGUCGACAUGUAUAGAUUUCGAUUUUGGAUAAUCUAUUCUAGCUCGAAUUCAUGGAUUAUUUUGUAGAUUGCAAAUUUGAAUUUGGAACAUGUGGUAAUAAAUUGAGUAGUUAAUACAUGUUGGACUUGGACUUGACUUAGGAGAAAACGCGAUAAUGAUCGGCAUAUGCUUAAACUGCCUGAUUUAGCUCUAGGAGCCGUUAUUAAAUUGUACUGUCGCAGUAUCUUCGAGACGAGUACUCCAGGUAGUUUAGAUUAUAUUUACGCUCGUGCUGGUACGCCGAGUGAAUUUUUACAGGGUCAUUUGGACUAUUUCGGACUUUUGGGCGCCGUUGGGGUGGACGGUGGGCCCGGUUCGCCGUUUUGGCGUCAGAUUGUGCCGAGGGCACGUUACUUGUUGGUUGUUAGACUAGUUAGAGUCGGUUACUUGGACUUUGGCUUGACAGAGCCUGAUUGAGCUCGACAGAAAUACGCUGCAUACUCGGUUGGGUAGCGCCCACGAGUGCCACUCCGGAGACGGGCUUUGUGCUUUUGCGUUGGUGUCGCUCAUGCCGGUUGGACUUGCUUUCCACGGACCAGUUAGUGUGGAGGUAGCUAGAUAGUCGCAACUGGGCAGGGACGGGUGUAUUCACAGUCCCAGGGACGGGUAUGUUUACAGUCCCGAUUGGAUUGGGUCAGAUUUGAUAUUUCCUACAGUUGGUUAGUGUAGAGCAUGAUAGUGUAGUGAUUUGUAGCGGUUGAGUUUAUUUCCUGCAUUUUCCUACUAUCUUGGCUCCCCUCUGUAGACUUAGUGGGUGGACCGAUGUUGUUUUGGGCGGCACCCACUGAGGACUACUUGUUUUUACAGUAGUUCUCACGCCCAGUUGUUACCCCUGUUUUGCAGAGCCAUAGGUUUCGGCUGCUGCACCUUCCGAGGCAGAUCGAGGUAAGGGCGUCGCGAGUUAGAGCCCUACCCGACGUGCUGAGUUAGAGGUGCCCCUACUGCAGGUAGAUGUUUUGUUUCGAGUUUAUGUACAUAGUAGACUUAACUCGCUAGUGCGAGUAACUUUAUAUUUUGGAUUGGGACUAGGUAUAUGAAACUCAGUUUGUUUAGCUUCUGUUUUCUCUAGCAGCUCUCUACUACUGUUCGUAGUAGUGUUUGAUUUACAGGUAUAGUUGUCGCUUCGUAUACAGAAAAAAUUUCUUUGUAUACGGCGGAUUUGUCGGCGUGCCCAGGGAACGAGACAUCCGGGGCGUGACAGAUUAAGUUGGUAUCAGAAGGUGAACCCUCAUUGCUUAUGGGAUUGAUUCUAAGUCUUAAUCACCACAAAUCAUCAAUUCUACAAACUCCGGAAGGAGAUUCGGCGUGUGGAUCUCGCGUGUAGCCGAGGACUCGGUGGACGCUUCGAGGAGUUGAGGCGUUGACGCAGCAAGGAGUUGCAGCGGGGUCGAUUGGAGCAUUCCUAUCGAUCGAGGACUGGCGAAGAACAUCAACAAUGGGAAUUCGGUAAAUUGAGUCUUAUAUUUUGGUUAAAUCACUUGUACUCAAGUUUUCUUUAGUGGAUUUUCUUCGCGUGAUCUGUCCCAUGGGUUUUUCACUCCGGAUUGGAGUUUUCCCACGUUAAAAUCUCGGGGUGUUGUUUUUAUUUUCCGCUAUUCAUUUUAUUUGCAUCGAGAGGUUUUGUUUUUGCCGUUUUACACCUAUUCACCCC